UGUACGGAAUUCGCCAGAGAGUGGACUUAGUGCUCGAAAGAGAACCGUAACACAGGUGCUGCAUGGCUGUCGUCAGCUCGUGUCGUGAGAUGUUGGGUUAAGUCCCGCAACGAGCGCAACCCUUGUCAUUAGUUGCUACAUUUAGUUGGGCACUCUAAUGAGACUGCCGGUGACAAACCGGAGGAAGGUGGGGAUGACGUCAAGUCCUCACGGCCCUUAUAGGUAGGGCUACACACGUCAUACAAUGGAUGGUACAAAGGGUCGCCAACCCGCGAGGGGGAGCCAAUCCCAUAAACCAUUCGUAGUCCGGAUCGCAGUCUGCAACUCGACUGCGUGAAGUCGGAAUCGCUAGUAAUCGUGGAUCAGAAUGUCACGGUGAAUACGUUCCCGGGUCUU
Molecule: ribosomal RNA, 396 nt
Filed under: uncultured Polaromonas sp.
Lineage: Bacteria; Pseudomonadati; Pseudomonadota; Betaproteobacteria; Burkholderiales; Comamonadaceae
Description: bacterial SSU rRNA
Rfam family: Bacterial small subunit ribosomal RNA
Source: RNAcentral